This 334-nucleotide long non-coding RNA is filed under the name Mytilus galloprovincialis (Mediterranean mussel). The record is from RNAcentral. Lineage: Eukaryota; Metazoa; Mollusca; Bivalvia; Mytilida; Mytilidae.
GAAAAUUUAUUUCAAAACAGCAAUUUACAACCAUUUUCAUAUUGGAGAUAUGUUGAUGACAUCUGGGGAAUAUGGGAACAUGGUUUAGAUGAAUUAAAAAAAAUUUCACGAAAUGUCAAACAGUUUACAUCCGAGAAUUAAAACAGAAAUGCGUUACUCAACUGAAAAAAUUGAAUUCCUUGAUGUGUUUGUACACAUAGAAAACAGACAACUUAAAACAGAUCUUUAUACAAAAUCAACAGAUAAACACCAGUACUUACAUGUGUCGUCAAGCCAUCUCAACUCUGUAAAAAAUGCCAUACCAUAUGGUCUUGGUAUUCGUGUCAAAAGAAUU